UGGGGAAUAUUGGACAAUGGGGGGAACCCUGACGCAGCCAUGCCGCGUGAAUGAAGAAGGCCUUAGGGUUGUAAAGUUCUUUCGGUAUUGAGGAAGGUUGAUGUGUUAAUAGCACAUCAAAUUGACGUUAAAUACAGAAGAAGCACCGGCUAACUCCGUGCCAGCAGCCGCGGUAAUACGGAGGGUGCGAGCGUUAAUCGGAAUAACUGGGCGCAAAGGGCACGCAGGCGGUUAUUUAAGUGAGGUGUGAAAGCCCUGGGCUUAACCUAGGAAUUGCAUUUCAGACUGGGUAACUAGAGUACUUUAGGGAGGGGUAGAAUUCCACGUGUAGCGGUGAAAUGCGUAGAGAUGUGGAGGAAUACCGAAGGCGAAGGCAGCCCCUUGGGAAUGUACUGACGCUCAUGUGCGAAAGCGUGGGGAGCAAACAGGAUUAGAUACCCUGGUAGUCCACGCUGUAAACGCUGUCGAUUUGGGGGUUGGGGUUUAACUCUGGCGCCCGUAGCUAACGUGAUAAAUCGACCGCCUGGGGAGUACGGCCGCAAGGUUA
RNAcentral lists this ribosomal RNA (547 nucleotides) under uncultured bacterium. RNAcentral describes it as "bacterial SSU rRNA". It matches the Rfam family "Bacterial small subunit ribosomal RNA", at positions 355 to 896 of the family's 1533-position model. The record is from RNAcentral.